Molecule: long non-coding RNA, 503 nt
Filed under: Phoenix dactylifera (date palm)
Lineage: Eukaryota; Viridiplantae; Streptophyta; Magnoliopsida; Arecales; Arecaceae
Description: long non-coding RNA (PDAC_LNC023088)
Source: RNAcentral
GUCACGCCCCGAACCCAGCACCCGGGUUCGGUACGCGACCGGCCGCAUGAGCCCUAGAGCAGUGCCCUAAAGAUCAUGCAAGGCCUAUGAUUAACAAAAAUUCCAAUAAAUUCACAAUUAAUUAAUAAUUCAAAUAGACAAUCCGACAUGCCCAAAUAAACACAUUAGUUCAAUUACAACAUCUUCAAAUGUUCAUCGACAUCAAAGAAGGAUAAACAAAUAAACUAACUAAUGACUCUGGUACUCGCACGCUGCGCCCAUCCCAUCCAAAUCUAAGCAUCCUGCAACUCUGAUAAAGAAAAAGAAGAAAAAAGGGGGGUGAGCUUUACAGCCCAGUAAGAAUCCCUACACAUCCACACCAACACAAUAAUAAUGAGAAUUUGUAAACCAUGACAAAUCAAUGCACAUAUCAUAAAAUCAUAUACCGGCUAUCAAAAGCUCGAAUAAUCAGUAUAAAUAUGCAAGUCAAAUAUCAACAAAAAUCCAGCAACUCAUGUGUGAUA